UACCUAGAAUUCAAAAGUGAUAGG
RNAcentral lists this non-coding RNA (24 nucleotides) under Arabidopsis thaliana (thale cress). The record is from RNAcentral. Lineage: Eukaryota; Viridiplantae; Streptophyta; Magnoliopsida; Brassicales; Brassicaceae.